Small nuclear RNA from Xenopus tropicalis (tropical clawed frog), 97 nucleotides. Lineage: Eukaryota; Metazoa; Chordata; Amphibia; Anura; Pipidae. The record is from Ensembl.
UCCAUCCUUGUCUUGGGGUGAGUGGCUGCUCAAUGAGCGAGUAGUGAGAGUAGUACUGCUGCUGUUCCCUCAGUAGGAAGGUGCAAUUUUUUGAACC